UGCUCUUCAUUUAGUCUGCAUUUACAGUUGUCUGUGAGCAAAAGGAGAAAGCCCUACAAUUAAAUGUUGAAAAAGGCACCUGGUAAGGGUGCAUCCACAGGCAGCAAGCAACAAGUGCAAGGUUCAAAUCACACACCAAAGCCGUCCCCUUCCGCAUCCAAGACGAAACACCUGUGCUUACGUUCAAAAAAAUUUUUUUUGUAACUUAUUUCCUUUUUUGGUCUAGAGAACUGAUGGGGCGGGGCACCCGCGAAUAAACAUUUCUGUUAUGCCAAAUACCAUUUACAAACCAGGAAUGGGUUGGAAGAACGGAUGAAAACUUGAACGAAGGAAUGAGAAGAUGGGAAAGGUCAAUUUCUAGCUUGCCUUCUCCAUCUCCAACUACUCUGCCUGUAUAUGGAAAAUGCUGGAGAGACGACCUCCAGCUAAAGGCGACACUAUGAGUUUGAGGCAGUUGGGAAAAGGCCAUAUCCCUAAAGUUAUUCUAGUGUAAGGUCAGCCAUAAUAACUUUCCCCAGCUCCGAUGGACCGUCCGGCCUGCAGUAGUAUUGCGACUCUUAGCCUGCUCAAGCUUCAUCUUAGCCCGCGCCCCACCUCCAAACCUUUCCGGACUAUCCCCAAAACGCCUUGCGGCCGCCAUUUUAAACACUACUAUCGCGAGAUAUACUUAGCAGCCUGCAGCCUGACUCAUUUACUUUCUUGCGAGAGUCUCUUUUCGGCUGUUCUCGCCAUAGUUGAGGAAAGUGUCGCGAGAGCUGGUUGCCUUGGCUCCCCGUAGCUAUAGCAGCCGCGGCGGUUAAGUAUGCGGCGGCGGGAGCAGUGAGUGCGACACCCUCAGGGGGGCGGGGCCGGAGUCAUUGAAAACCAGAAGGGUAUUUAUGAACAACAGAGAAUUCCAUGUUUUCCUUCAGUAUAGGAGGAGCCCCAGAGAGAGGUUGCUUCUACCUGAUGGCUGUUGUGAAGAUUAUUGCUAUGAACAUGUGGUACAGUUAUCUCUUUGAGAUAGUGCUUUCAGUUCUUUUGGAUAUGUAACCAGAGAUGGAACUGCUUAAUCAUAUGGCUGGUCAAGUGAAGCAGUGGGAGUGGAGAAGGAACAAAGGAAUCCGUAACUGGUUGUGAUCCAUUGGUUAUAAAUACCACUGCACUUGGACCAACCUGGGAGCUUAUAUUCUAAUGAGAAGAUAGGUAAUAAGUAAUGUCUGUUAGUGAUAAGUAUGAUGAAAAAAACUAAAGCAAGAUAAGGACAGGGAGGCAAGUGUUAAUUUUAGAUGAGAUAUUCAGGGAAGUCCCUUUGUGGAUGGUGACAUAUGAACGAAGAGACCUGAACGCAGAGACCUGAACGAAGUGAAGAAGCAGGCUAUAUAAACAACUGGGGAGUGAGUGUUCGAAGGUGAGGGACUAAAUAGCAGGUGAAAAAGUCUUGAGAUGGGAACUAGCUUGGCAUCUUUGAAAAAUGAUGGGCAGAGAACAGUAAAGCAGUAAAGAUGAAAUCGUUGAAGUAGGUAGGGGCCAGAUCAUGGGGAAUUUAAGAUUAAGGAAUUAAGAUUUUGUUCAGAAUGUCAUGGGAAGACAUCAGUGUUUUACCAUAGAGUAAUGACAUGAUUUGAUUUAUAUUUUUAAAAGUUAUCGUGAUUGCUAUGUGGAGAAAUAAUUGUAAUGGAGGCAAGGAGACUAGAUAGGAGGCUAUUGCAGUAUGCUAAUAAAUGGAUAUAGUUGGCUUUGUCAAGGAUGGUAGUAGUGGAGGUAGUGAGGAGGGAUAUAUUUUGAAAGUAGCACAAAUAAGAUUUGCUGAUAGAUUGAUGGAGGUGUUAGGGAAAGAAAGGAGGCAAACAUGAUGCAAAUUUUGGCUUGAACAAGUGAUUGAAGGAGCUGAUUGGGGUGUAUAUGGUGAGAACUAAGAUUUCUCCUUUGAACAUGUUAGGUUUGAUAUAACUGAAAGUGUUUUUCAGUUUUUAGUAAACUGAAAGUGUGGUGAUUAUAACUCCAUGUCAAUAAAUUUUUAUCUAUAAUUUUUUCAUGGUUGCAUAACGUUUCAUUCUGUGAAUGUAUACUGUACUUUGUUAUGAAUAACAUUGCAAAUUCUUACUUUAAUUUUUCCAGACUGUUUGCAGUGCAGUUCUGACACUACCUGGAGUUACCUGAAAUUUUACAGGGGCAUAGUCCUCCCUUACACACUAGACACAAGGUUGGGAGUCCCCAGCCCACCUAUACUUCUAACCAAGAUGCUACAAAUUCAAGGAUUCCCACAACCCUCUCAAGAUGCUAGAACAACUCAAAAAACUCAAGAAAGAGUUAUACUUAAUGUUUACAGUUUUAUUAUAGCAAAAGGAUACAAAUCUGAACCAGCAAAAGGGAGAGAUACAUAGGGUGAGUUCUGGAAGGGUCCCAAAUGUCAAGCUUCUAUCUCCUCAGGAUGUUACCCUCUGGGUACAUCAAUGUGUAUCCCAACAAGUGAACCUCACUGAGCCUUGUUGUUCAGAGUUUUUAUUGGGGCUUCAUUACAUAGGCAUGAUUGAUUGAAUCAUUUGCCACAUGAUUUAACUGGGUCUUCAGCCUCUCUCUGUUCCCCAGAGUUCAGGCUGACAUCCUAUGGAGUAAAGCCCCAAUCCUCUAAUCAUGUGAUUGGUCUCAAAGACACUCAUAUCAUUUGGGAAAUUGCAGAGAUUUAGAUGCUCUCUCCUAGGAACAAAGUACCAGCAAAAUUCUUCAUUAUACAACAAUGUUAAAACCCAAUUCAGAUAUUACUUUCUCUGGAAAGCCUUUACAGACUUUCCGAUGCAUUUUGUUCAUAUCUCUAUUAUAGUUUUUUUCUCUCCUUAGUGAAUAUUUUGAAGGACCCAUGCCUUUGGUCAUCUUUGUAUCUCUAAUAUGGUUAGCACUAUAUCUGGAUUAUAGUAGAUGCUCAGUAAAUAGUUAAUAAAUUAAAAUAUUUACGAUAUAACUCAUGAGUAGAUGGGAAGUUCAGUGUAAAAUUCUCUUAGAGUUAUUUUAAGAUGAAAUAGAAUCAAAUUUUACUUUAUUCCUUCUAUAUUCGUCCUCAUUUGCUUUUCAAAUAUUUUUAUACUUUUUAA
Microcebus murinus (gray mouse lemur) is the source of this 3071-nucleotide non-coding RNA. NCBI's taxonomy places the organism in Eukaryota, Metazoa, Chordata, Mammalia, Primates, Cheirogaleidae. The record is from RefSeq and is a predicted model, not a curated record.